AUUGAACGCUGGCGGCAGGCCUAACACAUGCAAGUCGAACGGCAGCACAGAAGAGCUUGCUUUUUGGGUGGCGAGUGGCGGACGGGUGAGUAAUGUCUGGGAAACUGCCCGAUGGAGGGGGAUAACUACUGGAAACGGUAGCUAAUACCGCAUAACGUCGCAAGACCAAAGUGGGGGACCUUCGGGCCUCACACCAUCGGAUGUGCCCAGAUGGGAUUAGCUAGUAGGUGGGGUAAUGGCUCACCUAGGCGACGAUCCCUAGCUGGUCUGAGAGGAUGACCAGCCACACUGGAACUGAGACACGGUCCAGACUCGUACGGGAGGCAGCAGUGGGGAAUAUUGCACAAUGGGCGCAAGCCUGAUGCAGCCAUGCCGCGUGUAUGGAGAAGGCCUUCGGGUUGUAAAGUACUUUCAGCGGGGAGGAAGGCGGUGAGGUUAAUAACCUCGCCGAUUGACGUUACCCGCAGAAGAAGCACCGGCUAACUCCGUGCCAGCCGCCGCAGUAA
This 506-nucleotide ribosomal RNA is filed under the name uncultured bacterium. RNAcentral describes it as "partial 16S ribosomal RNA". It matches the Rfam family "Bacterial small subunit ribosomal RNA", at positions 30 to 523 of the family's 1533-position model. The record is from RNAcentral.